GUACUAAUCCCCCCAGGGGAACCUGGCCCUUAAUUCGAUGAUCCACGAACCUCUUACCUUCCCUUGUGUUGUCUAGGCUCGUUUCAUUGGCAAACGAGCCUAAAUGGCGAGCAGCUUGCAUACCGCCGUUGUGCAGCUUAUAUCGUGAGAGUGAAGAAAUAGGCGACGCAGUAGGCUUGUUCUACUACUAAUUCAGGUAAACGUGCAGCCUAUGGGAAGGGGGGAGCUGGGUUACAAUUUUGGUUUUUAUUGGAGCUACUUGUUAAAGGAGACGCGAAAGAGGACUUGGAAGUAAUGGCUUUAGACAAAGAAGCCGUGAAUGGAGCUCUAGUGCGUGU
Molecule: ribosomal RNA, 338 nt
Filed under: Patelloida saccharinoides
Lineage: Eukaryota; Metazoa; Mollusca; Gastropoda; Lottiidae
Description: partial 12S ribosomal RNA
Source: RNAcentral